Molecule: ribosomal RNA, 480 nt
Filed under: Burkholderia sp. Z4_63
Lineage: Bacteria; Pseudomonadati; Pseudomonadota; Betaproteobacteria; Burkholderiales; Burkholderiaceae
Description: bacterial SSU rRNA
Rfam family: Bacterial small subunit ribosomal RNA
Source: RNAcentral
UCGGAACGUGUCCUGUAGUGGGGGAUAGCCCGGCGAAAGCCGGAUUAAUACCGCAUACGCUCUACGGAGGAAAGGGGGGGAUCUUAGGACCUCCCGCUACAGGGGCGGCCGAUGGCAGAUUAGCUAGUUGGUGGGGUAAAGGCCUACCAAGGCGACGAUCUGUAGCUGGUCUGAGAGGACGACCAGCCACACUGGGACUGAGACACGGCCCAGACUCCUACGGGAGGCAGCAGUGGGGAAUUUUGGACAAUGGGGGCAACCCUGAUCCAGCAAUGCCGCGUGUGUGAAGAAGGCCUUCGGGUUGUAAAGCACUUUUGUCCGGAAAGAAAACGCCGUGGUUAAUACCCGUGGCGGAUGACGGUACCGGAAGAAUAAGCACCGGCUAACUACGUGCCAGCAGCCGCGGUAAUACGUAGGGUGCAAGCGUUAAUCGGAAUUACUGGGCGUAAAGCGUGCGCAGGCGGUCCGCUAAGACAGAUG